AUAUUGGGGUGUGAAAAUGGAGAAAAGCUUAUUGCUCUUCAUCCUCAUUGUUACAUCAGGUAAGAUGUCUCUCUCUAGAUAUAAUCUUAAUACAUGUACACAAUCGAUCCUUAUAUUUGUGAUUGUGUACGUGGACAACAUACAGGUUGUGUUGUUGAAAGUUAUAUAAAUGAGACGGCUCUAUUGUUGUAUGCGUAUGAUGAGAUGCCCACGUCGAUGUGUUGUGAGUCAAUACGAGAUAUACCUGUGGGAUUGCGGAAGGAAUGGCGGAAGGAGUUGAGAUCGAGACUUGUGGAGUUGCGGAAGAAAUUGAG
This 314-nucleotide long non-coding RNA is filed under the name Daucus carota (carrot). RNAcentral's name for it is "long non-coding RNA (DCAR_LNC003975)". The record is from RNAcentral. Lineage: Eukaryota; Viridiplantae; Streptophyta; Magnoliopsida; Apiales; Apiaceae.